Molecule: long non-coding RNA, 771 nt
Organism: Mya arenaria
Lineage: Eukaryota; Metazoa; Mollusca; Bivalvia; Myida; Myidae
Exons: 3
Source: RefSeq, a predicted model, not a curated record
AACCAGCCAGACAGCCCGCACGCCGAGCUGCCCACCAGGCCGAGCUGUACUUUGUGUAUGCCAACAUGCCGACAUGCUGUAAUUUGUUAGUACUUCAAGAUCAUAUAAUGGAAAAUUGUAUCCAAACUGAAGUAUAAUUUGAAUCAUGAUGUGCCAAUAAGCUCCAGUUAGCUGUGCCUUUUUCCUCCCACCGGUUGUCCUUCAAUCUGAAUCCAGGAGAUGCAGCUCUGAAUCCAAUAUUUCAGGAGAAUGAAUAUAAAACUGAAGCCUUCAGGAAGUCAAUGCCACCAUGGUAUUGAUUUACUCAGCUGUGAUGUAACAUGCCUUCAAGCCACUAUCCGAAGAACAUUCAGACGUUCUAAAUGGACCAUUGCCCUGUUGCCAUGGAAAUCAUUAUGAGGAGGAGCACACAAACUGUCACUUGUUUUGGAUAUCAGAUGUACCACGAACUGACCAUAAACUUUUCAGAUGCUCUGUUUAUUUCAUUAGCCAAUUUCGAUGUAAAUUUUACUGAAUAAUGACAAACCGUCUUACUCAUAAGCAUCUCUUACUCAUUCGUAUUCCACAACUAAACAUGCUUGCAAUUACACUGUGCCAUCUAUCAUAAUAUAGCAAUGCUGCAAUGUCCACAUUUUUUUUGUACCAGUUGUUGCUUUAUACUGAAACUUUUAUUGAAAAUGGUGCAUAAACACUGACAACACAUCAAAGUUUCGUUCAUACAUUUGUACAUGUUCUUUCAGUGUUGAUAAUGUUGACAUAUUUCAUGUACAU